This 550-nucleotide ribosomal RNA is filed under the name Basidiobolus sp. Its description in RNAcentral is "LSU rRNA". It matches the Rfam family "Eukaryotic large subunit ribosomal RNA", at positions 44 to 542 of the family's 3401-position model. Lineage: Eukaryota; Fungi; Basidiobolomycota; Basidiobolomycetes; Basidiobolales; Basidiobolaceae. The record is from RNAcentral.
GAGUAGUGACGUUGAAGACUAACAGGAUUCCCCUAGUAACGGCGAGUGAAGCGGGAAGAGCUCAAAUUUAAAAUCUGUAAGGUUCAACCUUGCCGAAUUGUAGUUUGAAGAAGUGUUUUCCGCGGCGGCUGCAGUACAAAUCCUUUGGAACAGGGUAUCAGAGAGGGUGAGAAUCCCGUCUUUGACUGCAGACUAGUUGCACUGUGAUACACUUUCUAAGAGUCGAGUUGUUUGGGAAUGCAGCUCAAAAUGGGUGGUAAAUUUCAUCUAAAGCUAAAUAUUGGCAAGAGACCGAUAGCGAACAAGUACCGUGAGGGAAAGAUGAAAAGAACUUUGAAAAGAGAGUUAAAUAGUACGUGAAAUUGUUAAAAGGGAAACGCUUGAAGUCAGUGUUGCCGGCUGAAAAUCAGCUUCCUGCGGAUGGCUUGCUGCGGUGGAGGGAGUGUUAAAACCCCUUGCUGUAGUACAGUUAGCCGGAGGGAGUGCACUUUUUAGUCGGCAGGUCAACAUCAAUUUCAGCCGGUGGAAAAAAGCAAGUGGAAUGUAGGUU